RNAcentral lists this unclassified non-coding RNA (260 nucleotides) under Hevea brasiliensis (rubber tree). Lineage: Eukaryota; Viridiplantae; Streptophyta; Magnoliopsida; Malpighiales; Euphorbiaceae. The record is from RNAcentral.
GAUACAAACCCAGAUUUCAAAUUCAGAUUUCCUAUACAUCUUUAACCUGUAUAUCAGUGUAUACACUAUGUAUAUAGCUGGUAUACAGCUUUCUGCAACACCUGUAAUGUAAUUUUCCAUUUUUGAUGAACCUCUAAUCAAUUUCCAGCAAUGCAUUUCAACCUGCUCUUCGUCUUGUACAUCGAUUUACCAAUUUGGGAGAGGGUUGACGACUCGAGAGUAGAGGUUUGAGCCUUUACGGCUCAACGAGAGAAUGUAAC